AUGAACUUCAAAGGAUUUACAUCGCAUUGAUUUCUAAUAAAGGUUUAUCUCUAUCAGGUUGCCCAGAGCCGGAUAUUCCUGCGAACGGGCGCGCGAGCACAACAAACGGCCUGGGGGUGGGACAAGCAAUUUACUACUCGUGCAUACAAGGAAUGGAACUUGUUGGGCAAACCAAGCGGAUCUGUGAGGCCGCUAGCACGUGGAGCGGCACGGAACCCACGUGCCUCAUACCCGUGUUUCCGGACAUACUCCUGGCUUUCGGCUCCAUUCUGAUUCUACUGGUCAUCGUGGACGUGUUCGUAGUGGGCGUCUGUGUCUACUACAGAUAAUGCAGAAAUAAGCCCUAGACACCGCCGCAAAUGCCGUCGCAAUGAACGCUACCUUUCCCGGAAGCUUUCUAUGAGGACGGAGAGACAGGAUUUCCGCUGAUAGAUAUCACCUUGGCGCCGGUAAGUGGCAUGGCACGUGUUUUAAAGGAUACUAGAUAUAAACUAGCAUCGUGUUAUAUCGUUCCGUUAUUCUUGAUAUAAUGGGCGUGUGGUUUUUUGUGGCCACAUGUCGGAAUUAUUCGGCCUAUAACACUUGAAGAUACUUUAAGUUAAUACAUU
Long non-coding RNA from Dreissena polymorpha, 608 nucleotides. RefSeq lists it as uncharacterized. NCBI's taxonomy places the organism in Eukaryota, Metazoa, Mollusca, Bivalvia, Myida, Dreissenidae. The record is from RefSeq and is a predicted model, not a curated record. The transcript is spliced from 3 exons.